Molecule: ribosomal RNA, 498 nt
Filed under: uncultured bacterium
Lineage: Bacteria
Description: partial 16S ribosomal RNA
Rfam family: Bacterial small subunit ribosomal RNA
Source: RNAcentral
AUUGAACGCUGGCGGCAUGCUUUACACAUGCAAGUCGAACGGUAACAGGCCGCAAGGUGCUGACGAGUGGCGAACGGGCGAGUAAUGCAUCGGAACGUGCCCAGUCGUGGGGGAUAACGCAGCGAAACCUGCGCUAAUACCCCAUACGAUUUCUGGACGAAAGCGGGGGACCGUAAGGCCUCGCGCGAUUGGAGCGGCCGAUGUCAGAUUAGGUAGUUGGUGGGGUAAAGGCUCACCAAGCCACCGAUCUGUAGCUGGGCGGAGAGGAAGAACAGGCACAGUGGGACUGGAACACGGCACAGAAUCCUACGGGAGGAAGCGGUGGGGAAUUUUGGACAGUGGGCGUAAGCCUGAUCCGGCAAUGCCGUGUGCAGGAAGAUGGCCUUCGGGUUGUAAGCUGCUUGUGUACGGAACGAAACGGUCCUGGUUAAUACCUGGGGCUAAUGACGGUACCGUAAGAAUAAGCACCGGCUAGCUACGUGCCAGCCGCCGCCGUAA